GAACGCGAAAGUGGAGCAAUCCAUGAGUAGAGUGGCAAACGGGUGAGUAACGCGUGGGUGACCUGCCUUCGAGCGGGGGAUAACGUUUCGAAAGGAACGCUAAUACCGCAUGACAUCCUGCCUUUGAAUAGGUGGAGAUCAAAGCUGGGGCUCGCAAGACCUAGCACUCGAAGAGGGGCCCGCGUCUGAUUAGCUAGUUGGUGAGGUAACGGCUCACCAAGGCGACGAUCAGUAUCCGGCCUGAGAGGGCGGACGGACACACUGGGACUGAGACACGGCCCAGACUCCUACGGGAGGCAGCAGUGGGGAAUUGUUCGCAAUGGGCGCAAGCCUGACGACGCAACGCCGCGUGGAGGAUGAAGAUCUUCGGGUCGUAAACUCCUUUCGAUCGAGACGAACGGCUUCCGGGUGAACAAUCCGGGAGAGUGACGGUACCGAGAGAAGAAGCCCCGGCUAACUCCGUG
Molecule: ribosomal RNA, 464 nt
Filed under: uncultured bacterium
Lineage: Bacteria
Description: bacterial SSU rRNA
Rfam family: Bacterial small subunit ribosomal RNA
Source: RNAcentral